CUUCACAGGGAGGUAUAAGGAAGGGAGUCCAGGAUGCACAUGCUCAACCAGCAAGUGGGAGCACUAGAGAUGGACUUGUGGACUGAAGUGGUUUCCCAUGAUAGAGCUGUAUUAGAUAAUCUGAAGGGAGCACAAGGCUAAGUUGGAGGCAAUCAAGGGUUAUACUAUUGGAUUCACCAGAACUAAAGUCAAUGUAAACUUGUCAAAUGGUUCAGGGUCUGGGACUUAUCUACCUAGAACAUAAAAAGGGGACUGGAUGGGGAGUUCUUUGAAAUAUAUAGGUCAAGGGAGACAGACCAAAAGCAGCAUAACCAGAUGGAUGCCAAGGUUAGGGGUAUAGCUCAGUGGAAGAGCACUUGACUAUCACAAGGUCUUGUGUUCAACCCCCAACAUCACACACACAUAAAAAAAGUGACUGCCAAACAUUAUAAAUGAGGAUUAUGACAAUUCCUGAACAUUGUAUCAGAUUUCUCAACAUUCCUGCAAGUUAGUAGAAGAGGAAGCUAAGGAAGAUGCAGUGACUUGUUGUAUAUUAUCCAGGUAGGAUCUGGACAAGCUGUGAUUUAAAUUCUUCCCUGUUCAGCUCCCAGAGCUAUGUUCUUUUCUUCUACAAAUCAGGAAAUUCAGAUUUCAGCAGUGAAGAUAGAACAUCUAAAAAGAUUAAUAUGUUGAGGCAAUGUGUUCAGUGUUACAACUAGAAGUGGGCUUGUUUUGCCUUUGGGGAUUGGCAAUACUUCAGUUUGUUUCCUGGGUUUUUAGCAUGAACAGGAAAUAACUAGAAAAAAGAGAAAUACAAAUUAAAACUACACUGAGAUUCC
This 818-nucleotide long non-coding RNA is filed under the name Marmota monax (woodchuck). Lineage: Eukaryota; Metazoa; Chordata; Mammalia; Rodentia; Sciuridae. The record is from RNAcentral.